ACUCCUACGGGAGGCAGCAGUGGGAAUCUUGGACAAUGGGGGCACCCGUAGCUCCAGCCAUGCCGCGUGAGUGAUGAAGGCCCUAGGGUCGUAAAGCUCUUUCGCCUGUGAAGAUAAUGACUGUAGCAGGUAAAGAAACCCGCGUAAUCCGUGCCAGCAGCCGCGGUAAUACGGAGGGGGUUAGCGUUGUUCGGAAUUACUGGGCGUAAAGCGCGCGUAGGCGGACUGGAAAGUUGGGGUGGAAUACC
Molecule: ribosomal RNA, 248 nt
Filed under: uncultured bacterium
Lineage: Bacteria
Description: partial 16S ribosomal RNA
Rfam family: Bacterial small subunit ribosomal RNA
Source: RNAcentral